Oryctolagus cuniculus (rabbit) is the source of this 3237-nucleotide non-coding RNA. Lineage: Eukaryota; Metazoa; Chordata; Mammalia; Lagomorpha; Leporidae. The record is from RefSeq and is a predicted model, not a curated record.
CAGGGCCAAAAGCAUGCUAGGAGCUAUUUUUCUAAAGUCAUAGAGUUCUUUGCUGUUUUUGGCGGUGUUUCUCCAGAACUAGAUGAAAAGAACGGAGUCCACACAUCAAAGGCUGCAUUCCAGGUACCUGAGCCUGUGCCCUAGUGAAGGAGCAGCAUCUGGCAAGAAAGCUUCAGGACCAGCCGGGGUGGCGACUUGUGCAGUAGGUCUUCAGCGUCCUGCUCAUCAUCAUUGAUUCUUUUUAUGGGAGAGCUCUAGCAACUCUGUGGUUGCUACUCUGCCAGACUUCACAUGCAGGCUGUUCCCUGGCCAUCACCUCCUAUCUGCACCUGGAUGACCCCGAGAGGACACUUGGGAUGAUUAUCCUGGUCUCUAUUAUUUAAGGAUCCUGUCCUCCCCUUAUCGCUGUCCCCUGCUCUCAGCUCUGCCUCCUGACACCUGCUGAGCUUCCAGGGCCGAUGGUGACCCCUACCAGCACAUUUCUCAUUCCUUUGGAUCCCCCCACAGAACAGCUCCUGGUCCUAUGUGGCGUGUCCAAGGUGCUUAUUCACUUGCCUAGUCUUUGGAUUCCUCCCCCACGGUCUGUCAUGGCAGUUCUGGCGUUCCUGCUUCACUGAGUGUGGCUAUUGCUUGCUCCAAGCUUCCAGGAACCAUCCCAUCAGCACACUCAUACCAACUCCUGGUUCCCAUAGUGGGGUCUGGGUCUCCCCUUAAAGGCAUAUGUGGACACCCCAGCCCUCAGAAUGUGACUGCCUUUGGAAAUAGGGUCUUUGCAGAGGUAAAUCAGGGAAAGUGAGUUCACUAGAGUGAGGCCCUGGCCGGCGCUACAGCUCACAAGGCUAAUCCUCCGCCUGCGGUACCAGCAUACCAGGUUCUAGUCCCAGCGCCGGAUUCUGUCCCGGUUGCCCCUCUUCUGGUCCAGCUCUCUGCUAUGGCCUGGGAGUGCAGUGGAGGAUGGCCCAAGUCCUUGGGCCCUGCACCUGCAUGGGAGACCAGGAGAAGCACCUGGCUCCUGGCUUUGGAUCAGCGUUGUGUGCCGGCUGCAGCGCGCCAGCCGCAGCGGCCACUGGGGGGUGAACCAAUGGAAAAGGAAGACCUUUCUGUCUCUCUCUCUCACUGUCCACUCUGCCUGUCCAAAAAAAAAAAAAUAGAGUGAGGCCCAAUGCACCACGGCAAGCGCCAUCACGCAAAGACACAGGGAGAAGGUGGCCAUCCUCAAGCCAAGGAGAGGGAUCACAGAGAGAAGCAACCCUGCCUGCACCUUGGGCGAUGAUCAAUCUUGUGUCAGCUUGGCCUGCUUAGGGGAUGUCCGGAGAGCUGGUAGCACAUGACUUCUGGGUGUGUCUGGAAGAGGCUAGCAUUCAGUUAGUAGACCGAAUCAGGGAGACUGGGUUUUACCCAGUGUGGCAAGCACCUCCAAUCUGCGGGAGUCAGAAUAGGACACAAUGCUGGAGGGGGGUGAGUUGCCUCUCUCCUUGCGUGUGUGGGGGGGCAUCCAUCUUCUCCUGCUGUGGACAUCUCAGGCCUCAGACUGUGCACUUACACCCCUACCUCCAUGCGGUCCUCGGGCCCUCAGCCUUGGACUAAGGACACCUCCGACCAUCCUGAGUCUGCAGCUUGUAGACAGCGGAGCACGGGGCUUCUCAGUCCCCGUGUCCCGUGAGCCAGUUCCCGCCAUACAUUUCCCUUUGCUCAUCUCUGUAUGUGGGGUCUGUUCCUCGGGAGGACCCGGAUGGAUAAAUCUCGACCUCAGACUUGAGGCCUCCAGGGAGGUGAGUGAUGGAUGUCUGCGACUCGAGCCACGCAGCCGUGGGACGGUGCUACAGCAGCUCCGAGUGCAUCGCCCCUCGUGGGAGCUCCGCCUGAGCCGUGGCUCACUGCCUGGGUCAGGGCGACAAUCCUGUGGAGCUCUGAUGAUUUCAUGACCGAGUUCUGGGCCCACCCUUAGCUUUUCCUCCCUGUUGAAUACAAGUGAGAGAGUCACUUCCUGUGCUGGCCAGGAGGCGUCUUGCCUUUCACAUGUGGCACUUACUUCCUGUUGAAUGUCCGCACAGCCUUUCCUUGUCUCUGGAGCAUCAAUGGCUCCCAGUAGCAGCCGUGUGGUCCCACUGAUUUUUAUCAUUACUCAUACCAAUUUGCAUUUCUCCAACCGCUGAGGCUUAGCUCAGGGCUCACGCAUUUCCUGCCCGUGGUACACCCUGGUUCACUCUGGGGAAAAAGUUUUUACCAUUUCCACUGCUACUGUGUGCCAGGGGCUAUGUGCUGUGCUCCUCAUUGGUGGCUUGGCUGUGGGCGAUCCAGCCCCCAAAUCCCACCCCCUGGACUUCCAGGAGGUGGGCUCUGGGGGAGGGAUGAGCCUGCUGUAUAUCUGUUAGGGUGCACUCCUGCCACCACUGGGGGCAGAUGCAGGAGUGGGCAGUGCCUCUCUCAUCCCUCAGGGGUCUACAUGUUUAUGCUGAGUUAGAGCUGGAGGAUGAGACCAUGACACUCUUGACCUGUCAAUCACUCCUUUGAUGCUGGCUGUCACAUGCAAGGGAGUGAUCUUGGGCAAGGUGAUGCCCUUCAGCCAAAGGUGGCAUCUGCAGAGGAUGGACCACUGAGAGCUGUCACCUGACGUCCCUCCCAGCCCUGGGAAAUUUGUUUUGUAGUCCUGAGGGAGGAUCUACAAAAUGUAAAGGCAGCCAUAGUCCCGAUGUAGGCUUAUUGGGGGAAUGUUGGACGUCACAAGGCUGUGGCUGAUGUCUGCUAUUGGGGGGUGGAACAGGACGCUGGAGUUGUGCACAGCUUGGAGGCGGUAUUUGGACUUGUGUGCUGUCACACAGAGACACACUCUUAUUUCCUGAAUGUCAGUCUCCCCAUGGAAUCCUGGCAGGCUCAGGCCACGCACGGCCAUCUCUCAGACCCCAGGCUUGGGUGGGAAACAGAGCCCCCACCUGCCACGGGGCUGUCAGCGAGCCAGAAGUGACAAGGAGACAAUGUGGCUGGCAUCGCACGUUGGGAGCAGGGAGGGCACACGUAGACACAACUGGCUCACACAGGUUUGAACUGCACAUCCCGGAGGCGACCAUGACAAAAGCUUGGGGAGGAAAGGUCAGACCCGUGAGUGCUAUUUGUUUUCACUGAAACUUCACUCCUGCCACUUAACACCAGGCUAACCAGCGGUAGCAUCAGUUACCACGUGGCAGCCCGAAACCUGACCCAAGAACGAAGGGAGGACACAGGCUCCCUGGGGGAGAG